GGCCAAGUAGCUCAGUUGGUAGAGCAGAGGAUUGAAAAUCCUUGUGUCGGUGGUUCGAUUCCGCCCUUGGCCACCA
RNAcentral lists this transfer RNA (76 nucleotides) under Burkholderiales bacterium. Its description in RNAcentral is "tRNA-Phe". It matches the Rfam family "tRNA". Rfam says of the family: Transfer RNA (tRNA) molecules are approximately 80 nucleotides in length. Their secondary structure includes four short double-helical elements and three loops (D, anti-codon, and T loops). Further hydrogen bonds mediate the characteristic L-shaped molecular structure. tRNAs have two regions of fundamental functional importance: the anti-codon, which is responsible for specific mRNA codon recognition, and the 3' end, to which the tRNAs corresponding amino acid is attached (by aminoacyl-tRNA synthetases). tRNAs cope with the degeneracy of the genetic code in two manners: having more than one tRNA (with a specific anti-codon) for a particular amino acid; and 'wobble' base-pairing, i.e. permitting non-standard base-pairing at the 3rd anti-codon position. The record is from RNAcentral. RNAcentral also lists the same sequence under 3 other names. Lineage: Bacteria; Pseudomonadati; Pseudomonadota; Betaproteobacteria; Burkholderiales.